Molecule: long non-coding RNA, 2643 nt
Organism: Nannospalax galili (Upper Galilee mountains blind mole rat)
Lineage: Eukaryota; Metazoa; Chordata; Mammalia; Rodentia; Spalacidae
Exons: 3
Source: RefSeq, a predicted model, not a curated record
CCUAAAGGGAAAAAAGGAGCAUAAUUUACAUCUAAGGAGGUCAUAGAAGAUGCACAUUAAACAAACGUCCGUGAAUAACAUGCAGUGGUUUCUUUGCAGAAUUACACACAACAGUCUUUGUCAAUGAGUGCCAACAUUUAGCUGCUUUCUUAAUGAAAGUUUUGGUGAUCACCGGUAAUGAUUUUAAUUGGUUUAUCAAUGUAACUUAUGGCUCAAACACCAAAUCCAUUUCAGUGUCCUAGAGUUACGUAAGAUAUACUUGUGGAGCAUUACUGUAGGAAAACGUACACAAAACAUGAGAACUUAAAUAAUAAGCACUGACAUGGUACGGUCCAGGAACGGCAGAAGAAAAUGUGAACCAAACACCCAAUGCCACUGAAGACGAAGCAGAGACAAGGACUGUCAGUAAAUCCAGGGUGAUACAUGGGGAGGAUCGAGCCAAGUGUGCAAAGUGUGGCAAGUGGGGCUCGGUAAAUGACUUGCUGAGUCUUCUACGUGGGUGGAGAGGGUGCUGCGCGAUAAAGAAUUGAAGUAGAUUUUCAUGCACAAUUAAAUAAAAGUCACGCUAAGGAAAUAUGGAGGGUGUGGGAUAAAGUUCUGAUAUGUUCUGGAAAAGACUGAGAGGAGGAAAUAAAAGGUCAGGAAGUUUCUUAAGCUUUGUAUAGAUUCACUUCUCCAAGUUUCAGUUCUGCAGGUGUCUGGGUCGAAGCCUCCCUCAUUCCCACCCGAUUUACCCCCAGCGGGGACCUGCUUUUGACGGAGGUCUGGGACAUCCUCCACACCUGCUACAAGGACCACAUGUGGUUGGACUCUAUACCAUUGAUGAGCAAAUAGCUCAUCUGGCUUUCAAGAGCAGAGACAAGAAGGGAAGGAAUCCCAGUCAGCCUAGAGUCUCUGCCACCCCAUGGUGAAGAGGGCGUGCUCAGUUCCUGUAGCUGCUGCAACACAGGACCACAUGCUGGGUAGUUUAAAAAGCAACAGCUUCUUAGCUCACAGUUACAGAGACCGGGUCCAAGAUGGAGGUUCCAUCAGGGUUGGCUCCCCCUGUGGUCAUGAGAAACUGCUCUGUGUCCCCUCAGUCUCUGGUGCUGGCUGACCUGCUCUGAAGUUCCUUGGCUCGUGGACACAUCACACUUGGCCUUCAUGAGCUCAGUGUUCUCUUGGCUGUGUCCCCUUCCAUGAGGACCCCAGCAAACCAGGCCAGGCAUCCUCCGUGUCCUCAGCUUACACGCAGCAAUCUUAGCACUUCAAUAUCAGAAUUUGGGGGAAAGAAACUCAUCUCAUCACUGAAGCGUCCAGGGAUGGAAGCAAAUGUAAAGUCCAAAAUGGUAACACCUGGCAUGAAGUUGCUAGAAGGGGUCAGUGGAUUUGGGAAUUGGGUUAAAAUCCCAGAUAUCUGUUCCAGCCCUGGAUGCAAUUAAGAAAGACGAUUCAAAACCAAUCCUAUACCUGGCCUGAACUAUCUAGAAUUUUUCCUGUAAAAUAAAUAGUAAAUAUUUCAUAAAGCAUGUGAUCAAAAAGAUAUUUGUGCUGUUUGUAUCAGACUUUAAAUGGCUAAAUUAGAGGAAAGGUGUUCUGUGCUGUGGAAGAUCAAAAGUUCUUGAAAUCCUUACUAGGUUUUGAGCUCAAACUGUAACACAGCUGCAAAUAGUAAGAGUUCUCCUCAGAGGUUCCAAAUUUAGAGGUUGAAGUUUGAGAGGAAACCAGACGUCACCUAUUUAAAAGAAGAGAACGGGGGAUUCAAAAGACUAUUGAAGCAAGGGUUGUUGGAGCAGUGAAGAGGUGGAAAAGAGGCUGCAGAGACCCAGUCUGCCUUCUCCGCCAGCUGUUGGGAUUUCAGUUCACGGGACAGACCUUCAGAAGGAGAGCAAGCUGUGUCCCGCACUCAUCGACGUCUCCUCUUGGGUUGGGGUGAGCUGCCUCUCUCAGACCUUUGGUCUUCGAGUCCAGCUCGGAGCAGUAGUUCCUCUUGGGUCCUUGGCGGCCUCUCAGCCAUCUCACCAGCAGAUUUUACCAUGUACUACAGAGAGAAACGCUGAUGUCCAUGACACUCAACAGUGGGUACGGUGUGGGACGCCUGAAACACAGAAUGAUGCACACACAUCAGCCACUGAUAGAAACGCCUUCAAUAAAAUAAAAGCCCUAAGUAAGGGCCACGUCAGGUGAGGCUCAGACAAGAUCCACAACCUGAACUGAUCAAGGGAAAGGACCAGAGAGCAAAGCUGAGCUUGGUGGGCCAGAAGGCCAACCAAGAAAGCAAAGCGAGACGAAAGGAGGCUUCACGGGCCAGCUGAGCAUGGGGAGCCUGCGAUGGACCUCAGGCAGGUGGUGCUGUGCUAGGUCGCUAGGUCGCUGGCUGCCGCUCCUGCAUUCUGGGAGGCAGAGUUAUCUCCAGUCUGCACUUGGGAGAGCCAACACUCACAGACUGCAUCCAGCCCAUGCGUGUGGUUUUUGUGUUUUCUUUGCUAGCCCAGUGCUUGCUCGGACACAACAUCAAACAUACUGACUCUGCCAUCCUAGCAACUAAUAGAAGAUUUUGCAUAAAAUUUUAGAUUGACUUCUGUUGAAAAACUGCUAGAUAUGGGAUUUUUUAAUUUUUUUUCUAAAUGACUCUAUUAGCUACUUUUCUUGUCAUUGUGACAA